RNAcentral lists this ribosomal RNA (421 nucleotides) under uncultured microorganism. Its description in RNAcentral is "bacterial SSU rRNA". It matches the Rfam family "Bacterial small subunit ribosomal RNA", at positions 9 to 429 of the family's 1533-position model. The record is from RNAcentral.
GAGUUUGAUCGUGGCUCAGAUUGAACGCUGGCGGCAUGCCUUACACAUGCAAGUCGAACGGCAGCAUGAUCUAGCUUGCUAGAUUGAUGGCGAGUGGCGAACGGGUGAGUAAUACAUCGGAACGUGCCCUGUAGUGGGGGAUAACUAGUCGAAAGAUUAGCUAAUACCGCAUACGACCUGAGGGCGAAAGUGGGGGACCGCAAGGCCUCAUGCUAUAGGAGCGGCCGAUGUCUGAUUAGCUAGUUGGUGGGGUAAAGGCCCACCAAGGCGACGAUCAGUAGCUGGUCUGAGAGGACGAUCAGCCACACUGGGACUGAGACACGGCCCAGACUCCUACGGGAGGCAGCAGUGGGGAAUUUUGGACAAUGGGCGAAGGCCUGAUCCAGCAAUGCCGCGUGUGUGAAGAAGGCCUCGGUGUAAG